Molecule: ribosomal RNA, 565 nt
Filed under: uncultured archaeon
Lineage: Archaea
Description: bacterial SSU rRNA
Rfam family: Archaeal small subunit ribosomal RNA
Source: RNAcentral
CGGGGUGCCCCCGCUCGAUUUCUCUUCAAUGCUUGAAAGCGUGAUUCGGGAAUGUCUUAGUGUCGGAAAUUUACUUUCCGUCUUUUACCAUUUGUAAUCGUCUUGAAAAAUAAGGGUGUGGGCUAAACUGUUGGAAUCCGCCGCUAUAUCACCAGCUCCUCGAGUGUUACUCACGAAUAUCGGGCCUAAAGCUUCUCGUAGCUGGACCUCUUACGUCCGCUGUGAAAUGUUGGGGCUCAACCCUAAUCUCGUGCAAUGCAUACUGUUGGUCUUGCGAACGGGGGAGGGUCGGGGUACUUCCUGGGUAGGAGUAAAAUCCGUUGAGCCUGCAGAGACCACCAGAGACUAACGCGCCGAUCCACAGACUGUUUAAACUUAAUGUACUAACGCUGGGUGAGCCAACGGGAUUAAAUACCCCGGUAGUCCCACCUGUUUGUGAUGCACACGGUGGCUUUACUUUUGAAUAAUCAUGUGUAGAGCUGUAACAUAAGUGUUAAUUCUGCCUCCUGUAUAGUACUAUCCUGCAAUUUAAACUUAUCGGACUUGGCGGACGAGCAGAAGAACU